CCAAGGAGUCUAACAUGUGUGCAAGUCAAUGGGCUCACUAAACCCAAAGGCGAAAUGAAAGUGACGGGCGCCCGGGGCAGCUGUAACAGGCUCUCCGGUGCGUCUUGGGCCGAUCCCUGACCGGCUGCCUGCGGCCUCGCCCACGCCGCGACAAGCGGGGUGAGAUACUUUCCCCCGUCUCUGGACGUUGCGUGUGGUGGAGGUCGUCAGGGCGAUGGUCGAAGUUUAAUUUCCCCUCAUGGGAGGGGGGGGCGCAGGCCCGGGACUUGCCAAGACGCCGCGGUGCUGUCCGUCCCCGGAAGCGGGCCGUCGGUAAACGGCGGAGGCGCACCGGGGCAGGCUCGCGGGCAGUCGGCAAGUACCAUGAGCAUAUAUGUUGGGACCCGAAAGAUGGUGAACUAUGCCUGGCCAGGAUGAAGCCAGAGGAAACUCUGGUGGAGGUCCGUAGCGAUUCUGACGUGCAAAUCGAUCGUCGGAGCUGGGUAUAGGGGCGAAAGACUAAUCGAAUCAUCUA
This 514-nucleotide ribosomal RNA is filed under the name Homarus americanus (American lobster). Its description in RNAcentral is "eukaryotic LSU rRNA". It matches the Rfam family "Eukaryotic large subunit ribosomal RNA", at positions 666 to 946 of the family's 3401-position model. Lineage: Eukaryota; Metazoa; Arthropoda; Malacostraca; Decapoda; Nephropidae. The record is from RNAcentral.